CGCGUAGGCGGCCUGCUAAGUCUGGAGUGAAAGUCCUGCUUUCAAGGUGGGAAGUGCUUUGGAUACUGGUGGGCUGGAGUGCAGGAGAGGAAAGCGGAAUUACCGGUGUAGCGGUGAAAUGCGUAGAGAUCGGUAGGAACACCAGUGGCGAAGGCGGCUUUCUGGACUGAAACUGACGCUGAGGCGCGAAAGCGUGGGGAGCAAACA
This 207-nucleotide ribosomal RNA is filed under the name uncultured bacterium. RNAcentral's name for it is "partial 16S ribosomal RNA". It matches the Rfam family "Bacterial small subunit ribosomal RNA", at positions 568 to 774 of the family's 1533-position model. The record is from RNAcentral.